AGGACGAACGCUGGCGGCGUGCUUAACACAUGCAAGUCGAGCGGUAAGGCCUUUCGGGGUACACGAGCGGCGAACGGGUGAGUAACACGUGGGUGAUCUGCCCUGCACUUCGGGAUAAGCCUGGGAAACUGGGUCUAAUACCGGAUAUGACCUCAGGUUGCAUGACUUGGGGUGGAAAGAUUUAUCGGUGCAGGAUGGGCCCGCGGCCUAUCAGCUUGUUGGUGGGGUAAUGGCCUACCAAGGCGACGACGGGUAGCCGACCUGAGAGGGUGACCGGCCACACUGGGACUGAGACACGGCCCAGACUCCUACGGGAGGCAGCAGUGGGGAAUAUUGCACAAUGGGCGAAAGCCUGAUGCAGCGACGCCGCGUGAGGAUGACGGCCUUCGGGUUGUAAACCUCUUUACAGCAGGACGAAGCGCAAGUGACGGUACCUGCGAGAAGAAGCACCGGCUAACUACGUGCCACAGACCGC
RNAcentral lists this ribosomal RNA (475 nucleotides) under uncultured soil bacterium. RNAcentral's name for it is "bacterial SSU rRNA". It matches the Rfam family "Bacterial small subunit ribosomal RNA", at positions 26 to 518 of the family's 1533-position model. The record is from RNAcentral.